RNAcentral lists this ribosomal RNA (97 nucleotides) under uncultured bacterium. Its description in RNAcentral is "partial 16S ribosomal RNA". The record is from RNAcentral.
CGGGUUGUAAAGCUCUUUCGGCAGGAACGAAACGGUGUGGGCGAAUACCCUGCAUCACUGACGGUACCUGAAGAAGAAGCACCGGCUAACUACGUGC